This 272-nucleotide ribosomal RNA is filed under the name uncultured archaeon. Its description in RNAcentral is "partial 16S ribosomal RNA". It matches the Rfam family "Archaeal small subunit ribosomal RNA", at positions 477 to 747 of the family's 1478-position model. The record is from RNAcentral.
CAGCGUCUACAAGUGGCAACCAUGUUUAUUGGGCCUAAAGCGUCCGUAGCCGGUUUGAUAAAUCUUUUGUGAAAUUGUUGGGCUCAACCCAACAGCGUGCAGAAGAAACUGUUAAACUUGGGACCGGGAGGAGUCAGAGGUAUGUUUUGGGGAGCGGUAAAAUGCUAUAAUCCAAGACAGACCACCUGUGGCGAAGGCGUCUGACUAGAACGGAUCCGACGGUGAGGGACGAAACCCUGGGGCGCGAACCGGAUUAGAGACCCGAGUAGUCC